GCUCUGUGCUGUUUUUGUUUUGUAACCUCGAUGGAGAAGCCGGCAGGAAAAGCUCCGUGGAAAUAAGGUUAAACCCGAGAAGGGCUGAGGCGGCCAAACGAUGACUAACUAGACUUUGGAGCCUCUGUUUCAGGAUCACACUGAAAAUUAAAGCCAGCCUCCCACCCACUCGCCCUCCCCAAAAAAAGACACCCCCGCCUCGAGAGUGAAUUAAGGCCAGAGUUUACAAAGCUUGGGUGGUUUUACCAAUUACAGGACUUAAAAUGAAUAAACAAGGAAAAAAGCGUCAUUCUAAGAAGGCAGCAACCUUAUGACUUUUUUUUUUCUUCUGUGGUUUGCCGACUGCUCGGCACCUAUGAGAACACACAUCUAAAACGGCAGAGGGGGGGAAACAUGGUCCUAGGGGAAACCACCAGCCUGGAAGCUAGUCUGCAACUUGCUGGAGCGCAGUUCCUUCCCUGGGCCUGGCUGGAGAUGAAUCAGCUGCUGCGCCCCAGUGCGGGACAGAUGUGGGGCGGGGAGCGAGCGGGAGGCCGCCCGUUAGAGGGCCGCGGCGUCCUAGCAUUUGAAGGAUUGUUUGUUGCUGGGAUUGGUGGCUCGGAUCCGUUGGUGAACUGGAGAGGAGGGAGGAGAGACGCAGGGAGGAGGAGUCGGGGGCCGGCCGACGCUGCGACUCCGCGGUCUGAGUGGCAGGAGCCUCGUCUGGAAGCGGGCGGUUACUGGGGAGACGCUUUGUUUGCUAACUUCGAAAGCUGCUUCGGCUGCCUCGGCGGCUUUCGAAGCCACUCAACAAAACACGCCUUCGGGUCGGCUUAACCCUCCCCCUGCCCGCUUACAGAAGCCCGACACAAAAAUGUUUCCGUCUGCGUGCUUAUCCUUGGCCACGCGGUGGCUCUCAUUAGGUACACAAAGGUAUCUUUUUCCUCGUCGAAGUGAACUUGGCUAAUUACUGCGAUUCUCAGGCAACCGGGAUGGAAACCGAGAGUUGAAGCGACUUUAUAGGCACACAUAGUUCCAUUUGGUGUCAUCUUUUGAAGCUGCCUCAAGGCCAAGAAAAGACACAGAGUUGUGAUCCUCUGAGAAGGUGGAAAAGAAGCCGAAAGACAAUUCAAUGGCAAGAGUGCUGGAAAGUGGAGAAAGAGCAUAGACCACAAAGUUGAAGUAUUCAUGGAAGACAGAAGAGUUUGCAGGGACAAAAAAAAACUCUUGGAACCCAGCUACCCCUCCGAACCCAGAGACCGCUCUGUAAAAAGCACAGGCCACGUGGGAAGGCCACCUGAAGGUGCUACAGUCAACAGACCCAGCUAAACUUCCAGCCCCCAGCAAGCGCCCAAGAGUGAGCCAUCUGAAUGACACAGCCCUCGGGGAAAGCUCAGAGGAAUCCGAGUCAGAUCACCUCUCACAGAGCAGAAGCCUGACCCAGCAGAGCCCAGUCAACCCACAGAAUCACUGGAAAUUGUACAACCGUAUGCGAUUCAAACAAAUCUGCAUUUCUGUAAAUGACAAAGCCAAAAGAGAUAUGGAGCCCUCCUUAACUCUCCAACUCUAUUCAAGAUAAAAGCAUUCCCCGGCUAAAAUAACAAUACAGGAAGGAAAAGAUUGUAACCCGCAAGGACUAAAGGUACAGGAUGGGAGGCAGACAACAGAUAUCCAGGAAUGUUCACAAUGGGGGAAACUUAUAAAGGAGUUUUCACUACCUUAGCGAAAAAGCUGGGUCCGCUCCCAGUUUUUGGCACAGCAAGAUGUCAAGGAGAAGUAAGAUGAUUCUGUCUAGAGAAACUGAGAGGAUCAGGACUCAUAGGCACCAGGUAAGGUCCUAUAGAAUACAGGUAUCAUAUGCAGAGCCCGGGAAAUGUACACCUUUUAUCUUGGGAAGUGAUCCCAGUGGUGGGAGGCACUGAAAAGAGUGAAAUAGGGUGACAAUUGCAUUUUCACUGUGCUGGGAAAUUGGAGUUUAAUCUUGCUGCAACGUCUUUGAGGAGCCAUAUAUAAUUCACCUCAGAAUUGUUCACUGGAAGGAUAGAAGAAGAGAAUAUUCAUCACUAAGCUCCCCACCCCAAUGUCCAAGGUUGUCCUGUGGCAUGCUACGUCUCUGUACUUCCAAUUUGCAUGGGUUUCCCAAUGGCCAGGCAGCAACUCGCUGGUGGCUGCAGAUAUUGAAGCACUUAUGAGCAAAAAUCAUGAUGUAUUCAUAAUCCUGAAGAUCCCUCUGGCCUUAAAAUUCCAUGACCCCAGUUAUAUCUUCCCACUGACCAUCCAACCACACCAAAUGGUAACCCAGGUCAAAUGUUUGCACUUUAAAACAGUUUCCUUAGGAAAUCUAAAACAUGGAACUUACAAUGAUUCCUUUUCCAAUGUAUUUUUACCAAAAGAAUAAUCUCUGGGAAGAAAAUCUAAUGGUGUUACUUUUCUAUUUCAUGUAGUCAAAAAUACCUAGAGUUUGAAGUACUAGAAAAUAAGUUAUGAGUCUGAAUAUAGACUCUUACCAGACUGGGUAACAGCAAAGACAAUUUAAGCAAAAACACAAAUAAAUGAAACAUAUGGUAAGGACCCUUUUAAUGCAAUUUCCCCAAAACUUUUUAUGUUGAAUGCUUUUAAACUUACAGAAAAGUUAGAAGAAUAUUUCUGUGUGUGUGUGUGUGUGUGUGUGUGUGUGUGUGUGUGUUUGUGUGUGUUUAAGUAAUUUCUACACCCAGUGUGGGGCUCAAACUUAAUGCCAUCAGUCAAGAUCAAGAAUCUGAGUGCUGUACGGCCUGUGCCAGCCAGGCGCCCGUCCAAAACCUGCAGGGAUAGCUCAAAGAUCUCCCUGGUACCCAUUCCCUUGAUUCACGAAUGCCUAACAUUUGGCCACUACUGCUUCCUCUCUCUUUCUCUUUCUCCGUCUGUCUCUCUGGAUCAUUUCUCUGAAUCAUUUGAAAGUAACUCGCAGACAUCACUGCACUAUAUUCCUAACCACUUCAUCCCUAACUCCUAAGAAAAAGGACCUUUUCCUGCAUAUACCAUGAUCAUAUACAAGAAGUUUAACAUUGGUAUAAUAUUAUCUAAUAAUCAUUUACGAUGAAAAUAUUCAAAAUAACAGCAGUAGAGGAGGAGAAAAUAUCUUCUUCUACCCAUCUUAGGUUCCCCAGCUGGGACCCAGUAAAUUAGACUGGCCAAAGACAGAUCAACAAAAGAACAAAGAGAAAUUUGUUAACAUGUAUGCUGCUCGUGUCUGCAUGGAAGCACCUACCAUGAGCAGUCCAGAAGGGUGAUUAAAACUCAGGCUCAUGUACCAUCUUAGGCUAAAAAAGGAAAAGUGGCUUUGGCUUUUGGGCAGGGAAGGCAAGUUGUGAGAAGGUUACCUUAAACUAUGGUAAACUAGGGUUGUUUAGUAAGGUUUGUGAUGCAGAUUUAGGUCAGCACUUUCUCCUUGGAUAAGAAUUGGAAGAGACUUCCUCUUCUUGCUAUGGGAAGGGAGAGGGAUCUUUACAAAUGGAAAUUUCCAUUUCUUUUACAGAAGGAAAACUUGUGCCUCAUUUUUCAAGCUUUUCCUGCCUCUGCUAUUAGCUGAAAGGAUCCACCCCAAUAUAUGCCUCUGUUGGCCUCUAUUGUGACAGAGUCACAGCCAAAAAUCCUAUUUCCCCAAUUGUUCCAAAAACACUCUUUUUUUUUUUUUAAUUUUUUUUUUUUUUUAACAUUUUUAUUUAUUUUUGAGACAGGGAGAGACAGAGCAUGAACAGGGGAGGGUCAGAGAGAGGGAGACACAGAAUCUGAAACAGGCUCCAGGCUCUGAGCCGUCAGCACAGAGCCCGACGUGGGGCUUGAACUCACGGACUGUGAGAUCAUGACCUGAGCCGAAGUCGGCCGCUUAACCGACUGAGCCACCCAGGCGCCCCCAAAAACACUCUUUAUAGAUUUUUUUUUUCCUCUUUUUAAUCCAUGACCCAAUCUAACAUCAUGUACUGCUUUUAAUGGUCAUGUAGCUUUUGUUUCCCUUAAUCUUGGUGUACUGCCUUUUCCCCUCCUUUUUUUUUAAAGUUUAUUUAUUUAUUUUGAGAGAGAGCCUACAUGGUACACACACAAGUGGGGGAGGGGCAAAAAGCGAGAGGGAGAGAGAGAAUCCAAAGUAAGAUACAACAUGUAGAGUUCAGGCCUAUUGUUUUAUACGAUGCAUCAGAAUUAAACUAAGAUUAAUCACUUCAACUGAAGUGUUGGGUGUUCAGCAUCUUUUAGUGGACUCCUAUGUUUUUUUGACUUGUUCCGAUGCACCUUUAUUUGUUUUUUAAGUUUAUUUAUUUAUGUUGACAGAGAGCACACAAGC
Acinonyx jubatus (cheetah) is the source of this 4300-nucleotide long non-coding RNA. RefSeq lists it as uncharacterized. The transcript has 6 exons. NCBI's taxonomy places the organism in Eukaryota, Metazoa, Chordata, Mammalia, Carnivora, Felidae. The record is from RefSeq and is a predicted model, not a curated record.